CCAGACUAAAACAAAAAGGUUAAAAUAUAAAUGAAUAUUAUAAACAAUAUUAUAAACAACUGAACUAUUGCCAUAUGUUUUAACUUAAUGCUUUUAUUUAUGUUAUUCGACACUACAGUUGUUAUAACUUAGUCAAAUCUUUUGUUUCACAUAUUCCCAUCCCUGAUUCAAAUUAACCGGAAGUUGUGCAGUGCAGUUGAACAUGGCGGAAGGAAGUAGAGAGUUCAUGCGAGGCGCCAUUUAGAGCUAGACGUUGUAGCUCCAUGUAACAACAUUCAGCUUCACAGAAGGUCAGGUCUUUUAAUGAAUAAGAAGAUCCAACGACUCCAGUAGAUGACGAGCCUCCCGGCUUGAUCCUCAGGAACCCCUCCGGCUAUUCAUCGCCACUGAAACAGCUGGAUGAGCUAUCUGCCUUUAGAUGUUGACAGAGUGAGGCUGCACAUCAAAAUUGCCCUGCAGGAGGAAACGCACAAUCUCCUGGUGACCAAAGCGGGCGCAGAAGUGGAGAGGAACGUGAUCUUCGUUGUCCUGGGCAUUUACUGGAAAGAAGAACAGAAAAGUGAAGCCAGGUGGAGUGCAGUGAAUCCGUUCCUGGACAGUCUGGAAGGACGCAGGCCUUUGAGCAUCAGGGUGCGGAUAUGGGUCUUGUUACCUGGUCACCAAUACGUAAAUAUUUCACUCAACAAAACUGCAUGUUUAUUGUGAAUGACACUAAAGAUCACAUUUAUUUCUCCACUUUAACUGUUUAUAUUUCAUCUUUAUGUACAGUUAAGUUCCAAUCUACAGUGACCAACACCAGAGAGGUCAUCUUCAGACAAUAAUGUCAGUCAGUUCAUAGUAAUCCUUCCUCCCACUGCCACAUUUUGUGGAGGAGUUAUUAAUACACUCACACAUACCUCCACAUACGCAGCAGAGAUGCAGCAGCGACAGCCCCUUCUCUGUUCGGUAGCUCACGUUCACCUUCUGAAACGCUU
This is a long non-coding RNA of Sebastes umbrosus (honeycomb rockfish), 974 nucleotides long. RefSeq lists it as uncharacterized. NCBI's taxonomy places the organism in Eukaryota, Metazoa, Chordata, Actinopteri, Perciformes, Sebastidae. The transcript has 4 exons. The record is from RefSeq and is a predicted model, not a curated record.